Molecule: long non-coding RNA, 1194 nt
Filed under: Brachypodium distachyon (stiff brome)
Lineage: Eukaryota; Viridiplantae; Streptophyta; Magnoliopsida; Poales; Poaceae
Description: long non-coding RNA (BDIS_LNC005912)
Source: RNAcentral
AUACGUCAAUUAAAUUUUGAGGCAACUGAAAUAUAGCCACACCGAUAUUAUUAUUUUUUGUCUUUUUUUGUGGACAUUCAUACUUUUUUUAAUUUGUGUGUGGACAUUCAUGCACGUACAUCUUUGAGUUUCCAGAGAAUAUGCCAUCUCUUACGAUACGAAUCAACAACACCGACCGGUAAGAAGUUUUUUCAUCUAAAAGAUCGAAACAUGCAUGCUUGACUCUGUCUACGACCGGCGCAGCUCAAUCAAACAUGGGUACUAGCAGAGUGCCCGUGCUUUGCUACGGAACAAACAAAACAAAUUCAAGUAAUCCAAUUCAAAAUCAAACAGAAAGUCAUUUGGUGUACAGAGACUUGUACGAUCAACCAAAUUCAAAAUCGAAGUACAAUCUGACACUUCAGCUCACCAAAGUCUAAUAAAUCCUAUCCAUUCUGGCAGCAGCAGCUAAGAGGUGACAUCAGACUUAAGAAAUAGCACUAUCAUCAAGCAUGCCAAAGGAAAACAUCCCGAUAAAUUUUGAAAUAUGCUUCAUUUUGUGUGCAGCGACAGAAAAAUAGUUUGCCAUGCCAGUGCUUCACAUUAUAUGGUCUCAGAACUCCCGACAACCGAUAAUUGCACUACUACAGAAAGGUUUAUCAGUAACGGUCGAAAAACAACAUCAGUAAUGGUCGGGUAUCAUCAGUAACGGUCGCUCCGACCGUUACUGAUAUGUAUCAUCAGUAACGGUCACGUUGCCACAUCAGUGUCGGUCGAGCGACCGAUACUGAUACAUUUUCGGUAUUUAAAAAAAAAAAUCAAAACCACAGAAAAUACACAGUAAAUACACAGAAUAAUAUAUACAGCACAGAAAAAUGUAUCUCAUCACAGGAAAAUACAUAUAAAGCCGCAUCACAUCACAGCACAUCACAUCACAUCAUUUAAAGCAUACAAAUGUAUAUAAGCCGCAUCAUAUAAAGCAUAUAAAGAAUACAAAUGUAUCUCACUUCACGACAUUGAUUACAAAGUGUCAAAAUUUCAUAGAAGCAUAAUUACAAAGUGUCAAAAUUUCAUAGAAGCAUAUAAAGAAUACAAAUGUAUCUCAUUUCAAGUUUGAAUAUCUAUUGUUGUGGGUGAACCCUAGACACGACUUGUUCCACGCGUUCGUAGAAAUCCCCACUAGGCUUGAUGACCUCAUUGUUUAUAAGAUGGGCG